This 206-nucleotide small RNA is filed under the name Chimaeribacter coloradensis. Its description in RNAcentral is "GlmZ RNA activator of glmS mRNA". It matches the Rfam family "GlmZ RNA activator of glmS mRNA". From Rfam's summary of the family: This RNA was discovered in E. coli during a large scale screen. The sraJ gene was expressed in early logarithmic phase, but its level decreased with cell growth. The record is from RNAcentral. Lineage: Bacteria; Pseudomonadati; Pseudomonadota; Gammaproteobacteria; Enterobacterales; Yersiniaceae.
GUAGAUGCUCAUUCACCCUGUUAUGACUGCUUCGGCUUCAUAAAACCUGGAAUGAUGCAGAGCCAAUUUCGGUACCUAGUGUCCACCUUAUCGAUAACCCCGGUUAUCACCAAGCGGACAUAACGUUGAGUGAGGUACCACCCCCGGUUGUCCUAGACCUGAAUUUGCUUGUUUGAACACUUGUCCCGGCGGGCAAGUGUUUUUUU